Molecule: long non-coding RNA, 4300 nt
Organism: Eriocheir sinensis (Chinese mitten crab)
Lineage: Eukaryota; Metazoa; Arthropoda; Malacostraca; Decapoda; Varunidae
Exons: 2
Source: RefSeq, a predicted model, not a curated record
UCGCCUUUGCAUUACCAAACUUCUCCCUUAUUCCUUUCUCCCGUUACUUCUCUCAUGCCUCUAAGGAAGUGGUGGCACUGCUGUUAGCCCCCCCUCCCCCCCCACCCAAGGCUGCUGUGGUAUUUGACUUGCUUGUUGAGAUGAGACAUCACAUGGGUGGAAACAGGAAAGUGACAACACCAUAAGCCAUCAAUUACCACGGCCUUCCCUUCUCAUCUGCCAGUUUGGUGUGGUUUGCCUACAGAACUGUCAUCCUGCCCACCCUGCUGCCAGGAAAGGCCUGCUCUGCUUUGGUGACUGCUGUGUUGGAGCCUUGUCACUCAAGUGGAGCACAAUGUACGCCACCCCCGCCAAGGCUGUGCCCACGUCCCCCCAACCACCCCACAUUCUCUAGAAAGGCGAAGGGUGCGUGGAGACAUGAUCGAGGUUUAUAAAUGGAUGAAGGACUUUAAUAAGGGAGACAUUCAUAAGGUUCUGUUGGUAAGAGAACCGGGUAGGACACGAAAUAAUGGGUUUAAACUGGAUAAAUUCAGAUUCAACAGGGACAUAGGCAAAAAUUGGUUUACAAACAGGGUGGUGGAUGAGUGGAAUAUUCUUAGCAGUCAUGUGGUGAGUGCCAAUACAAUUGUCACAUUCCAAAAUAGAUUAGAUAAAUUCAUGGACAGCGAUAUUAGGUGGGGUUAGAUACACGGGAGCUUAGAUUCAGAGGAGCUGCCUCGUACAGGCCUACCUGCAGACUUGCAGACUCCUAUGUUCUUAUGUUCUCUCGUCCCGCCAGCCCAGGGUAUGGCACAACAGUGUUCAGUCUGUGGCUUGAGUUACCUCCCACUGCUCUGCCUGAAUCCCGCCAUCAGUGCCUGACCUAAGGAUGACCAGGGACUAACACCUUGCCACCAUCUUGAAGAGGAUGUCCUCCCCCUCCCUGGCACCACCAUACUGCAUCCACCCUCCCACUGAUAUGUUAGAUCCCUGAACUCUUAACCUGUCAUUUUGUACUUGUUCUUUACAAUGUGUUUAUAAUGUGUACAUUUUAAGCUUUUGUAAGAUUUUAUAUGCCCAUAUAGAGUGGGAACUGAAUGUGAAAAAGAAUGCAAAAUAAUUUUGAAUGGUGAAGAAAUGGAGGAGGUCAAUGAGUUUAAGUACCUUGGAUCAGUUAUGUGUAAGCAUGGUGGUAUGGAGGGAGAGAUAAGAGAAAGGGCAUUGCAAGGAAGAAGGGUAGUAGGGUCUUUGGGACGAAUCAUGAAUGGCAGAAGUGUGAGCAUGGAAGUAAAGGGGGAUUUGAGAAAUACAAUAAUAGUACCAACCCUCACAUAUGCAAGUGAAACGGGGGCCUGGAAUGAAAGUCAGAGGUCUAGAGUGCAGGCAGUGGAGAUGAGUUAUUUGAGGAGUGCUUGUGGUGUGAGUAGAAUGGAUGGAAUGAGUAAUGAAAGUGUGUACGAGCAUUUUGGAAUGUGUCACAGGGGUGAAGGGAAGAAGUGUGGAGUGGUGGAAGAAGUGAAGCAAUAGACCUUAAAGUGGUUUGGCCACAUGGAGCGAAUGGAGGAGAGUAAGAUGACCAGAAGGGUGUAUGUGAGUGAGAUAGAGGGAGGGAAUGCUAGAGGACGACCUCCAGUGAAAUGGAGGGAUAGGGUGCAAGAGUACGUUAGGGAGAGGGGGAAAGAUCUUUGAGAAACUUUGAGCAGGCAAGGAGGGAGCGUCUGGAAAGAGAAAGUUGGAAGCUCUUCUGCCAUGGCUAUCCCCUGGUGGGAGCUCCUAGGAGCAGGCAUUGAUGAAAUGAUGAUGAUGAUGAUGAUGAUGAUGAUUUAAGCUUAGCGGCUGGAAAGACCAAAUACACUAUAUUAUUACUAGUAACACACACACUUAACCAAUAAGCCCUGGCCACAACAGCCAGCCCAGCACAGUCACCAAAAAGAUCAAACCUUUCACAGUACACACCAACCACAUGCAGCCUAGGAUGGAAAGUGAAUAAUAGAUCAUGCUGUUACAGUCACCAUUUGUUCCAAUACAUGAUGAUUUUCUGUUCUCUGUGCUACACACAGCCUUAUAACUCCACCACAACAAACACUUGCACUCACACACACAGCAGAAGUGAAUCAGCACAGCACCUCAGGAGAAGUGGACCUUCAUGUGCCUGACAAUCUCACCCUUAGUCGUGAAACGUUUCCCACAAACAUCGCACUUGAACCCUUUAUGACCAGAGUGUCUGAAGAGGUGCCUGUCCAAUGUACUCUUCAGUUUGAAUCUUUUCCCACAAACUUCACACUCAUGAUUUCUUGCAUCAGUGUGUGUAAGGGCAUGUUUCUUGAGGGUACCCUUCUCACUGAAACAUUUACCACAAACUUCACACUCAUGAUUUCUUUCACCAGUGUGUGUAAGGGCAUGUUUCUUGAGGGUACCCUUCUGACUGAAACAUUUUCCACAAACUUCACACUCAUGAUUUCUUUCACCAGUGUGUGUAAGAGUGUGUACUUUCAGGCUAUUCUUCUGACUGAAACAUUUCCCACAAACUUCACACUCAUGAUUUUUUCACCAGUGUGUGUAAGAGUGUGUAAUUUGAGGGUACCCUUCUGACUGAAACAUUUCCCACAAACUUCACACUCAUGAUUUCUUUCACCAGUGUGUGUAAGAGUGUGUAAUUUGAGGUUACCCUUCUGACUGAAACAUUUCCCACAAACUUCACACUCAUGAUUUCUUUCACCAGUGUGUGUAAGAGUGUGUAAUUUGAGGUUACCCUUCUGACUGAAACAUUUCCCACAAACUUCACACUCAUGAUUUCUUUCACCAGUGUGUGUAAGAGUGUGUAAUUUGAGGGUACCCUUCUGACUGAAACAUUUCCCACAAACUUCACACUCAUGAUUUUUUUCACCAGUGUGUGUAAGUGUGUGUAAUUUGAGGUUACCCUUCUCAGUGAAACAUUUCCCACAAACUUCACACUCAUGAUUUCUUUCACCAGUGUGUGUAAGAGUGUGUUUCUUGAGGUUACUCUUCUGACUGAAACAUUUUCCACAAACUUCACACUCAUGAUUUCUUUCACCAGUGUGUGUAAGAGUGUGUAAUUUGAGGUUACCCUUCUCACUGAAACAUUUCCCACAAACUUCACACUCAUGAUUUCUUUCACCAGUGUGUGUAAGGGUGUGUCUGUUGAGGGUACUCUUCUGACUGAAACAUUUCCCACAAACUUCACACUCAUGAUUUCUUGCACCAGUGUGUGUAAGAGUGUGCAAUUUGAGGUUACCCUUCUGACUGAAACAUUUCCCACAAACUUCACACUCAUGAUUUCUUGCACCAGUGUGUGUAAGAGUGUGCAAUUUGAGGUUACCCUUCUGACUGAAACAUUUCCCACAAACUUCACACUCAUGAUUUCUUUCACCAGUGUGUGUAAGGGCAUGUUUCUUGAGGGUACUCUUCUGACUGAAACAUUUCCCACAAACUUCACACUCAUGGUUUCUUGCACCAGUGUGUGUAAGGGUGUGAUGUUUGGGGUUACUCUUAUUACUAAACCUUUUGCCACACUCCUGGCUUUCAUGAGGUCUUACACCAGAGUGUGUGGGUGUAUUUGUUGAGGUCAUCCUUGCACCUUGCAGCCUCCACUGCAGCACUACUCUGGAUGUGAGGAGUUCGCUGGCCUUGAGGAACCUCGGAGUUGCCGGAGAAGGCGGCGAGGUUGCUUCAAAGCCACACUCAGUGAGCAAUUGAGCAGGCAAGACGUGGGAUGCACCAAGGAGUCCUGAAGUCAGCGGCACCAAGGACAGAAGAAGUACUGAGCACAGCAACUGUCUCGAUGCCUCACUUCAACACUAACACCAGUGGUGGCCAUUGGGACACAGACAUGUGCUGAAAAAAAAAAAAGAAAGACUGGUACGGAAACUGAACUUGGAGGGAGUGAUCAGGGCGGUGGUGGGUGCACAUAAAGUAAGCCACAGGCCACCGGGUCAGGCAAAUAGUGCGUGUUGAUGAUAUCAUCAGUCUUACAUUAUUUACGAGGACCACACUGUUUUUCUGAUAGGUUUGUAUAUGUUUCAAAUUAUUCUGGUUAUUGAUUAUUCUUGGGAGUGUGGGGGAAGGGGGGCAAAAAAAUAACUGCAAGUGUCACAUGAGCUGGCAGGGAUAAUCCUACAGGGAGGGACACACGGACUUGGUAUCAUUGCUGGGGUGAUGGUACUACGCACUCAUUGGCCAAGUCUUAACUUGUUCUAACAUGCAUGAAAUUAAGUUCGUAUUCCUACCUAAACCCUUUUGAGUUUCAAAGUAACAAACAGACUGUACCAAUAAUAAACUAAUGCAAUAAUAUAUUCACUGA